RNAcentral lists this long non-coding RNA (416 nucleotides) under Gossypium barbadense (sea-island cotton). Its description in RNAcentral is "long non-coding RNA (GBAR_LNC006300)". Lineage: Eukaryota; Viridiplantae; Streptophyta; Magnoliopsida; Malvales; Malvaceae. The record is from RNAcentral.
UUCAUCGUACAAAAUGUGACCCAUGGGAGCACAGCCCAUGGGCAACCCAGGAUGACCUGAAUUCGCCUUCUCGACCGCAUCAAUAGACAAGAAUCUGAUGGUGUUGACGGAUUUCUCGACCAAGGAAGUCUCGGCGGCGGUGCCAAUUGUUUCGACGGCAGCAGCACGGACCUGGCGCUUGUGGUUGGAGCGGGAGGGAAGGCGUCGACGGGAAGAGGAAGCGCGAGGGAUAGAAGAUUUGAGGCCAGAGAAACCGGGAAAAGAGAGAGUGGAGAGGGAGGGGCGGUGGUCGGAGGAUUGGGCGGAGGCAUGGGAAGAGAUAGCGCGAGAGAGGAGGGCUUGAGAUAGGGUGACAGAUGAAGUAGAGGCCAUUGUUGAUUGAGAGGGUGAGGAUAGUGAAGGGACCCCUCUUUGUU